This 483-nucleotide ribosomal RNA is filed under the name uncultured bacterium. Its description in RNAcentral is "partial 16S ribosomal RNA". It matches the Rfam family "Bacterial small subunit ribosomal RNA", at positions 28 to 507 of the family's 1533-position model. The record is from RNAcentral.
GACGAACGCUGGCGGCGUGCUUAACACAUGCAAGUCGAACGCUGAAGCUCAGCUUUUGUUGGGUGGAUGAGUGGCGAACGGGUGAGUAACACGUGAGCAACCUGCCUCCUUCUUUGGGAUAACGCCCGGAAACGGGUGCUAAUACUGGAGAUUCACUGGUCUUCGCAUGGGGGUUGGUGGAAAGGGUUUUUCUGGUGGGGGAUGGGCUCGCGGCCUAUCGGCUUGUUGGUGGGGUGAUGGCCGACCAAGGCUUUGACGGGUAGCCGGCCUGAGAGGGUGACCGGUCACUUAGAGACGGCGCUGCCGCCCAGGGUCCUCCGCGAGGCGGAAGUUGGGACUAUUGCGCAAAGCGCGCGCGACUGAUGCCGCGACGCGGCAGGAGGGCUUGAGGCCUUAGAGUUGUGAACCUCUUUCGCUCAUGGUCAAGCCGCAACAAUCGUUGUGAUGAGGGUAGUGGAUGAAGAAGCGCCGGCUAACUACGUG